Molecule: ribosomal RNA, 811 nt
Filed under: Dothidea sp. D5-2
Lineage: Eukaryota; Fungi; Ascomycota; Dothideomycetes; Dothideales; Dothideaceae
Description: eukaryotic LSU rRNA
Rfam family: Eukaryotic large subunit ribosomal RNA
Source: RNAcentral
UAACGGCGAGUGAAGCGGCAACAGCUCAAAUUUGAAAUCUGGCUCCCUCGGGCGCCCGAGUUGUAAUUUGCAGAGGGUGCUUUGGCGUCGGCAGCGGCCUAAGUUCCUUGGAACAGGGCGUCACAGAGGGUGAGAACCCCGUACGUGGCCGCCCGCCUUCGCCGUGUAAAGCCCCUUCGACGAGUCGAGUUGUUUGGGAAUGCAGCUCUAAAUGGGAGGUAAAUUCCUUCUAAAGCUAAAUACUGGCCAGAGACCGAUAGCGCACAAGUAGAGUGAUCGAAAGAUGAAAAGCACUUUGGAAAGAGAGUCAAAAAGCACGUGAAAUUGUUGAAAGGGAAGCGCUUGCAGCCAGACUUGCCCGCGGUCGAUCUUCUUCCGCGGUCAGGCCAGCAUCAGUCUGGGCGGUCGGAUAAAGGCCUCGGGAAUGUAGCUCUCUCCGGGGAGUGUUAUAGCCCGGGGCGCCAUGCGGCCAGCCAGGACUGAGGUCCGCGCAUCUGCUAGGAUGCUGGCGUAAUGGCUGUAAGCGGCCCGUCUUGAAACACGGACCAAGGAGUCUAACAUCUAUGCGAGUGUUUGGGUGUCAAGCCCGGGCGCGCAAUGAAAGUGAACGGAGGUGGGAACCCCUCGGGGCGCACCAUCGACCGAUCCUGAUGUCUUCGGAUGGAUUUGAGUAAGAGCAUAGCUGUUGGGACCCGAAAGAUGGUGAACUAUGCCUGAAUAGGGUGAAGCCAGAGGAAACUCUGGUGGAGGCUCGCAGCGGUUCUGACGUGCAAAUCGAUCGUCAAAUUUGGGCAUAGGGGCGAAAGACUAA